GACGAACGCUGGCGGCGUGCCUAAUACAUGCAAGUAGAACGCUGAAGGAGGAGCUUGCUUCUCUGGAUGAGUUGCGAACGGGUGAGUAAUGCGUAGGUAACCUGCCUGGUAGCGGGGGAUAACUAUUGGAAACGAUAGCUAAUACCGCAUAAUAGUAGAUGUUGCAUGACAUUUACUUAAAAGGUGCAAUUGCAUCACUACCAGAUGGACCUGCGUUGUAUUAGCUAGUUGGUGGGGUAACGGCUCACCAAGGCGACGAUACAUAGCCGACCUGAGAGGGUGAUCGGCCACACUGGGACUGAGACACGGCCCAGACUCCUACGGGAGGCAGCAGUAGGGAAUCUUCGGCAAUGGACGAAAGUCUGACCGAGCAACGCCGCGUGAGUGAAGAAGGUUUUCGGAUCGUAAAGCUCUGUUGUAAGAGAAGAACGAGUGUGAGAGUGGAAAGUUCACACUGUGACGGUAUCUUACCAGAAAGGGACGGCUAACUACGUG
RNAcentral lists this ribosomal RNA (495 nucleotides) under uncultured bacterium. Its description in RNAcentral is "partial 16S ribosomal RNA". It matches the Rfam family "Bacterial small subunit ribosomal RNA", at positions 28 to 507 of the family's 1533-position model. The record is from RNAcentral.